GGGACGUAGCUCAGCGGGAGAGCACCUGCUUCGCAUGUAGGGGGUCGUGGGUUCAAAUCCCAUCGUCUCC
RNAcentral lists this transfer RNA (70 nucleotides) under marine eukaryotic metagenome. It matches the Rfam family "tRNA". Rfam says of the family: Transfer RNA (tRNA) molecules are approximately 80 nucleotides in length. Their secondary structure includes four short double-helical elements and three loops (D, anti-codon, and T loops). Further hydrogen bonds mediate the characteristic L-shaped molecular structure. tRNAs have two regions of fundamental functional importance: the anti-codon, which is responsible for specific mRNA codon recognition, and the 3' end, to which the tRNAs corresponding amino acid is attached (by aminoacyl-tRNA synthetases). tRNAs cope with the degeneracy of the genetic code in two manners: having more than one tRNA (with a specific anti-codon) for a particular amino acid; and 'wobble' base-pairing, i.e. permitting non-standard base-pairing at the 3rd anti-codon position. The record is from RNAcentral.